GAUGAACGCUGGCGGCGUGCCUAAUACAUGCAAGUAGAACGCUGAAGCUUGGUGCUUGCACCGAGCGGAUGAGUUGCGAACGGGUGAGUAACGCGUAGGUAACCUGCCUGGUAGCGGGGGAUAACUAUUGGAAACGAUAGCUAAUACCGCAUGACAACAGUUAUUGCAUGAUAACUGUUUAAAAGGGGCAACUGCUCCACUACCAGAUGGACCUGCGUUGUAUUAGCUAGUUGGUGAGGUAACGGCUCACCAAGGCGACGAUACAUAGCCGACCUGAGAGGGUGAUCGGCCACACUGGGACUGAGACACGGCCCAGACUCCUACGGGAGGCAGCAGUAGGGAAUCUUCGGCAAUGGACGGAAGUCUGACCGAGCAACGCCGCGUGAGUGAAGAAGGUUUUCGGAUCGUAAAGCUCUGUUGUAAGAGAAGAACGAGUGUGAGAGUGGAAAGUUCACACUGU
RNAcentral lists this ribosomal RNA (460 nucleotides) under Streptococcus sp. oral taxon 074. RNAcentral's name for it is "bacterial SSU rRNA". It matches the Rfam family "Bacterial small subunit ribosomal RNA", at positions 28 to 472 of the family's 1533-position model. Lineage: Bacteria; Bacillati; Bacillota; Bacilli; Lactobacillales; Streptococcaceae. The record is from RNAcentral.